RNAcentral lists this long non-coding RNA (1227 nucleotides) under Diabrotica virgifera virgifera (western corn rootworm). Its description in RNAcentral is "uncharacterized LOC126888796". Lineage: Eukaryota; Metazoa; Arthropoda; Insecta; Coleoptera; Chrysomelidae. The record is from RNAcentral.
GAUCAGUAUCCCGAUCGUUACUAUAAGAUUCAUUUCUGUAACUAUUAAGUAUGCAACCCGGUAUACGUUCACUCGCAUAGAGUGUAAUCUAAACUUGAGCCCAUUAUAAUUAUUUUGGUUGGUAGUAUGGUUAGUGAAUUUUACAUUUAUUCGUUGGCUCAUGGGUAAAUGACAAUUUCCGCCUGUUGACAGGACGGAAAGAAAGUGAAAGUUGAUGGUUACUUGAUCUUCGGUAGCCGUCUGCAAAUGAUGUGAUUUUCCAGCGACCGGUGUCUAGCCAUUUUAUUUUAUUUAGAAAAUAAUUAUUUAGUUGAAAAGGAAUGCAUUUAAGUUGGAAAGAAGUUUAUUUUAUGGUAUAAAUUAUGGUGAGAGUGCUGUUUUAGUUCCAAUAUCGGAGGAUUCUGGACAUUGGUCGCUGGAGAAUAGAAGAUUUAGUCAACAGAAAUAAGAAUAAUUUUUGGGAAAGAGUGGGAAAUUUUGGGACAUAUUUGGAAGUUUUGAUUUUAUUGGAAUCUUGGUUUUUAUGGAAUUUAUUUUUUGGAAUUCGCCGGUACUGAGAGGUAUCUCCAGUUGGUAACAAGGAUACACCUCCCUCCUAGGUUGAGGAACACCGCAAGCUACCUUCCUUGGGCCUCUGAUCAUUCCCUGGAAAGAGUUGGAGAACCCAUGGUCACUUGGUAGACCGGACAGGUUUUUAUAAGUCAAUUUGAUUGUAAUUUGUUUUAAUAAUAUUUGCACUUUUACCUAUUUUUUUUUUGUAUCAAUAACUUAAUAAUCCUAAUAAUAGUAUACCUUCAUUUUCUUAAACAUAAUUAAACUAAACAAUAAUUUUUCAAAAAUUUUAUAUUUCAAGGUUAGCUCAUUUAUUUUAAAAUAGUGGGGGGGAUUAUAAACUAUCUGUAAAGAUAGUGUGCACAUUAUCUCAGUUUGAAUCCUUAUCGAAACUUUGAUUUCAUUGUCAGGUAUUAUACUUACGUUUAUCACCUCCGAACAGAUACGAUAUUGUCAGCCAAUAUUGGCUUCUUCAUUAACAACAAAUUUGUACAUACAUUUUUACAUUAAUUAACUUUCAUAUAUAAACCAUUCUUUUCAUAUUUUUCACAUAUUGUAAAAACCUGUGUUAUCAACAGGAGUGUCAUAGCUUAGUACGUCCGGUUUAGCUAGUGUAUAAAAAUUGUAUAUAGGGGUUAUAGGUUUGUUUCAUUAAAUUUGUUAGUUGUACCUAAA